RNAcentral lists this long non-coding RNA (3508 nucleotides) under Lactuca sativa (garden lettuce). RNAcentral describes it as "long non-coding RNA (LSAT_LNC003313)". The record is from RNAcentral. Lineage: Eukaryota; Viridiplantae; Streptophyta; Magnoliopsida; Asterales; Asteraceae.
AAGAUCUCUUGUGCAGAAAACAUAGUGUGAUGCGCUGCGAUCAAGCCGACUCCUUUCCUUUAAACACGAAGUACCUGAAACCAAAACUGAAAACCAUAAGCACGAAGCUUAGUGAGUUCCCCCAUCAUACCGCAUACCAUACAAUCACAUAACAUACAUAUAUUGUCAGGCAUAUCUGGGUGCCCGACCUACCCCUUCGGUCCUCUCGACCGGAUACAGACUAGUCUAUCUGGGAGCUGGCCUCCCCUUCGGUCCUCUCUACCGGAUACUGACUAGCAUAUCUGGGUGCUGGUCUCCGCUUCGGUCCUCUCGACCGGAUACUGAUUAGCAUAUCUGGGAGCUGGCCUCCCCUGGGUCUCAUAGCUGCUUACAACACUUUCCAAACUAUCUGACUGCUAGUGAAUGCUACGGCUACCCCCGUAGUCUUACAACACUUCCCAAACUAUCUGACUGCUAGUGAAUGCUACGGCUACCCCCGUAGUCUUACAAACUUUCCAUACUGGGUCGAACACGCACUCGACCUAACACACAACUGAACUUGAGUCCUAACUGGAAGUCAAAUCUGGUUCCCGAAACCUGUUAUCACGUGACCCCAUUGUAUCAGUACCGUACCCAUGCCCACGAUCAAAGCGUCACAGUAAACCAAGAAAUCAUCUACACCCUCUGGCAGGGUGAGAAUCGGUGCCUCGCACAACCGCUGUCUGAGAGUUUCGAAGGCUGCCUACUACUCAGGCCCCCAACGAAAGGUCACCGACUUCUUGGUUAGUCGGGUCAUAGGAACCACAAUCUCGGAGAAGUCCCGCAUAAAUCUCUGGUAAUAACCCACUAUACUCAGGGAAUUCCGAAUCUCAGAUGGAGACCUCAGAAUCUCCCACUGCAUCACGGUCUAUAUCUUGGCCGAAUCAACUAGAAUACCCUUCUGGUUGACAAGGUGGCCAAGAGAUUGCACCUUGCGCAACCAGAACUCACAGCUAGAGAACUUUAUAAAAAAAUCUCUCCCCCACUUAGAUUCGACUAAGUCUUCACAUUACUUGAUAAUUGAAGGAUUCCCAAUCCUUCUCGGUUUCUAAUAUCCCACUGAUGACAACCUGUGCCUGCGAAUGCUUACGUUUAAUCGCCGAUUAAACCAUGAGAUCUCCCAUCCUCAGAAGUCUCGAUGAGUACACUUGAGAUCUGAUCCAGUCUGACACCUCAAUCCAUUUAACAUGCUAUCAAUUGAAGACCUUAAUCUUCACUCUAACUGACGAAUCCUCGUUCCCACUGCCAAUCUUGCAGUACCACUGAACUCUAAUCGAACACAGCCCAUGCAAAAACACAAUUCUCUUGAACAUCCAGUGACCAAUCACUUAUGCAUCUAACACCCGUGACUGACACUACCCUCUUCCUGUCACCAGUUCUGUCCUGGCAACGGUAGUGCCUUGAAAUCCAAAGUUCAUCCAUAAACAACUACCAAACAUACCUGAACAAUGAUAGAACCUCUGAACGCUGACUUCAUUGGAGAACAAUCACUCCAACCCUGAUCAAGUAUCCUCUAAAGAAUACUCCUGCAUAGAUCCCGACAAAAAUCCGAAAUGAUAACGGUAUGCGCGGAACCCACUCCGCAAGACGCAUCCCUCUUUGGGUUCAUCAAGGACCUUUCGGCAGGCUGGAUGGCAUAUAUGAUCCCUGAUAACCCAAACACUAGCAGAAAACCGACCCGAGGUCUGACUUAGCCAAAUGCACUCACAGUUCCAACGCAAUACGUAUCCCUAAUAUCCAUCUAGUAGCAAUAGAAGUUGACAUACUUGCAAUGUCUGGGGAAAUACUGGUCACCUUCUGCUGAUAUGACCAAUCCUGCUACCGUGUAGCAGCCUAAACCCUUGGAGUGACAAACUCCCUUGUGUACUUUCUCGUACGCGCUGCACUGACUCAGGCCCUGCUGGCCUUUCACCUGAUGUUCAGGAGUCAUGGGUCUCUUCCCGGGACCCUCUACUACGCGCACCUGGCACGCACCUCUCUUUCCAGGGUGCUCCCAAAUCGAUCCCGCAUCUGCAACUCUUGGAAAUCAUAUCCUUCAGGGUCUGACACCCUGUCACACUCACUAGCUCGCUUGCCAAAGGCUAAGCUGCAACAACUGGAACAUCCUCUAUUCCCAUACUGGGUCACAAACUCUUCCCUGAAGCUUCUUAGAUUCUCCAAGACUAUCACUGAUUCAAGUAUGGAUCCUGUGCUUUCAGUAGUACGGGCCCAAUACUACAUUCCACACCUAUCCAUACUUUCCUCAGCAAUCCUCCCGAAUCCUCUAAGUCACUUCCUCAAACCGGUACACCCAAGUCUCACUGAGCCUCACUACUAUCCCACGAAAACGUAUCCUAGGCUUUCCUAGGUUCCCGAACUCACCCAGUCCUCAGCUGCUGAAAGAUUCCCAGUAAUGUCAACUAGCUACCUCAUGAAUAUAGCCACAUGCAACAGAGAUCAGAUAAUCCUUCGAGUAAAAUAAUCAUCCCUAGAACGGUUAGACUCAAACGAGAGCUGCGCAAUAGGGUCAAAUCUAUCACUCUGAGAUUAUCCAGCUUGUGCCACAUGUGACUUAGCAUAUUCACUUAGUAGCUUACUCACAUUACUAAGAGUCCCACAAAGCACAAAGCAAGCAACAUUCAGACAAUGGAAAAUCUAACCAUCAUAUUCCAAUCAAAUCAUUUUAUCCUCUAAUCAGGAAUCUGUACAUGCAAUUAAAAGGCUCAUACAAUCAGGCAUAACCUAAACAGGCUAUCCUAUCACUGACUGAUCAGUACUAGCAUGCAAGUCUACAAGCACAUACAAUAGGCAUAUAAGGCAUCCUCCUAGAUCCUUAGCCCUAAUCUAGCAUGCAGUUCUCAUAAUCAUAUCAUAUCAUAUCAUAACAUGUAUGGGUAUCUUGGGGAAAACUUACUUGAGCUCGGCUGAUUGCACGCAUCACACACUUUGUUCUUCUCAAAGUUCUUUUCUCCUUUCAGAUUCUUUUCAAACUCCUUUUAUAAAAUGGUUUUACUUUGAAAACUUUCAUACCAAGCCCUUAGUUUGAGUUCAAACACACCCGAGAGUAUGUCCGAAUCCCUCAAACUAAAGCUCUGAUACCAACUUGUAAGAUCCCAAAAUUCAAGGCCAAAAAUUUCAUUUUUAAAUACAUUAUUAUAUAAACCAUCAGUAAUAAAACAUUCAUAUUCAUAUCUCAUGUCAAAACCAAAGUGUCAAUAAUCAAAGCAUUUUAUCGUGAGUUCCCCCAUUAUACCGCAUACCAUACAAUCACAUAACAUACAUAUAUUGUCAGGCAUAUCUGGGUGCCCGACCUACCCCUUCGGUCCUCUCGACCGGAUACAGACUAGUCUAUCUGGGAGUUGGCCUCCCCUUCGGUCCUCUCGAUCGGAUACUGACUAGCAUAUCUGGGUGCUGGUCUCCACUUCGAUCCUCUCGACCGGAUACUGACUAGCAUAUCUGGGAGCUGGCCUCCCCUUCGGUCCUCUCGAUCGGAUACUGGGGUCUAUUUCAC